This is a long non-coding RNA of Sebastes umbrosus (honeycomb rockfish), 760 nucleotides long. RefSeq lists it as uncharacterized. Lineage: Eukaryota; Metazoa; Chordata; Actinopteri; Perciformes; Sebastidae. The record is from RefSeq and is a predicted model, not a curated record. The transcript has 8 exons.
ACACACACACAUACACAGUCAGCUCUGGUCCUUACUGUGUUUCUAUUUUAGCUCGACUCAGACGGCGGUCAUCAUGGCUCGCUGCAGGAGUUACUUACGAGGGCUCGCCAUCUGUGUCACGGUACUGCUGCUGGUGUCUGGUGUGGUGAUGAUCGGCGUUGGAUUUUCCUCCAUUGACGGGAACACACCGGUUGCCGAGUUGUUCGACCAGUUGUCCAGUAGCGAUGGCUUACUGGUCCUGCAGGUGUUCGGUCCGAUCACUGUGCUUUUGUCUGUUCUGGGCAUCUGUGCUGCGUCUUUGGACCUCAAACCUCUGCUGCUGGCGUUUUCUGCUCUGAUUUUCGGGAGUUUGUGGCUGUGAUGGUGUUGCCUCGCCGCUGGUUCAGGUUCAAGCUCAGAUGGACGGCGCGGGUGAAUGAGGUGUUUCUGAACGUAACACCCCUCCACAGAGCAGAGCGUUACAUCCAGAGUGAACUAGGCAAACUCCAGGCCUCCGACUCUUGUUGUGGUUUGAGGAGUUUGAGGACUGGGAGAACCAACUUCCUGUACCCUGUUUGUGCACGCCUCCUGCCUCCGACCUGCAGCCGAGCUCUCAGUCUGGUAACUCCAGCUCAGAGGGAGCCUGUGUGAGGGUGGACAGUGACCUUUACCCUCCGACCCGAUGGGUUCACUCCGAGCCCUGUGGUCCAUCCUGAAGAGCUACCUGAGCUUCCCCAUCAAAUUGAGGAUAGGAAUCAUUUCAGCCUUCGCAACCAUUACG